GCGAAUGAUGAUAUUUUUUAACUCGGAAACACCUUUGCGGUGUCGCUGAAGAUUAAAAACAGCAACAACAACACUCUAAUUUUUUACUGACG
Molecule: small nucleolar RNA, 92 nt
Filed under: Aspergillus rambellii
Lineage: Eukaryota; Fungi; Ascomycota; Eurotiomycetes; Eurotiales; Aspergillaceae
Description: A. fimigatus snoRNA Afu_298
Rfam family: A. fimigatus snoRNA Afu_298
Source: Rfam by way of RNAcentral